This is a long non-coding RNA of Columba livia (rock pigeon), 372 nucleotides long. RefSeq lists it as uncharacterized. The record is from RefSeq and is a predicted model, not a curated record. Lineage: Eukaryota; Metazoa; Chordata; Aves; Columbiformes; Columbidae. The transcript is spliced from 3 exons.
GGAAUAGAAUGAUAUAAAAAAAAAAGCCUCUUGAUCUGAUUCACAACAGGCGCCUACCAGGGAGACUCUGGAUUUCCCUGUGGAUUCUUCUGGCUCGUGUUGAUGGAAAGGGAGGACUGGGCUGAGGGAUACUUUAGUGCUGUUUUAUUAUGAGCUGAUAUCUGCAAGCUCUGCCACGAUGACACAGCAAUAGAUGGCUUUUGUAAGAUGUGCAAGGCAUAGUUUUCUGCUGAUGCCAAGGGUGAAGAAAAGAAGGUUUACAAAUACUGUGGCUGAGCACCUGUUAGAUCUCUUGCCGGUCUUUGUCCAAGCUUGGAUCCAAUUACUUUUCACCAUCAAGGUGAAAUUCUCAGCCGCAUCAGUGCUGGAAAU